UGGGGAAUUUUCCGCAAUGGGCGAAAGCCUGACGGAGCAAUACCGCGUGAGGGACGAAGGCCUGUGGGCUGUAAACCUCUUUUGUUAGGGAAGAUAAUGACGGUACCUAACGAAUAAGCAUCGGCUAACUCCGUGCCAGCAGCCGCGGUAAGACGGAGGAUGCAAGCGUUAUCCGGAAUUAUUGGGCGUAAAGCGUACGUAGGCUGUUUCAUAAGUCUGUUGUCAAAGCCCGAGGCUCAACCUUGGAUCGGCAAUGGAAACUGUGAGACUAGAGAGAGAUAGGGGCAGGAGGAAUUCCAGGUGUAGCGGUGAAAUGCGUAGAUAUCUGGAAGAACACCAGUGGCGAAAGCGUCCUGCUGGAUCUCAACUGACGCUGAAGUACGAAAGCUAGGGGAGCGAAUGGGAUUAGAUACCCCAGUAGCCCUAGCCGUAAACGAUGGGUACUAGGUGUUGGUCGUAUCGACCCGAUCAGUGCCGUAGCUAACGCGUUAAGUACCCCGCCUGGGGAGUACGGUCGCAAGAUUGAAACUCAAAGGAAUUGACGGGGGCCCGCACAAGCGGUGGAGUAUGUGGUUUAAUUCGAUGCAACGCGAAGAACCUUACCAAGGCUUGACAUGUCGUGAAUCCUCUUGAAAGGGAGGAGUGCCUUCGGGAGCACGAACACAGGUGG
Molecule: ribosomal RNA, 670 nt
Filed under: uncultured cyanobacterium
Lineage: Bacteria; Bacillati; Cyanobacteriota
Description: bacterial SSU rRNA
Rfam family: Bacterial small subunit ribosomal RNA
Source: RNAcentral